This 98-nucleotide non-coding RNA is filed under the name Salinibacter ruber. The record is from RNAcentral. Lineage: Bacteria; Pseudomonadati; Rhodothermota; Rhodothermia; Rhodothermales; Salinibacteraceae.
ACGCCUGCUCGGAAUCCAUAACGAGCAGGGGACACAAGUGGAAGUCGGAGGAGGCCAUAGUAGCUUUGAAGCGGGGCAACGCCUGCGGAGCGAAGGGC